Molecule: ribosomal RNA, 310 nt
Filed under: uncultured bacterium
Lineage: Bacteria
Description: bacterial SSU rRNA
Rfam family: Bacterial small subunit ribosomal RNA
Source: RNAcentral
AGAGAAUAGAUACCCUGGUAGUCCACGCCGUAAACGAUGAGUGCUAGGUGUUGGGGACUCCAAAUCCUCAGUGCCGCAGCUAACGCAAUAAGCACUCCGCCUGGGGAGUACGGCCGCAAGGCUGAAACUCAAAGGAAUUGACGGGGUACCCGCACAAGCGGUGGAGCAUGUGGUUUAAUUCGAAGCAACGCGAAGAACCUUACCAGGGCUUGACAUCCCUCUGAAACCCUCUAGAGAUAGAGGCUCCCUUCGGGGUCAGAGGUGACAGGUGGUGCAUGGUUGUCGUCAGCUCGUGUCGUGAGAUGUUGGG